CCGUGAUGGACUAACCGUCUGUCGCUGGGAAGAAGCUUAACUUGGGGGAAACUGCCACGAAAAUAAAACUUUAAUAUAAGUUUGCCUUUCUUUAAUUUUGUUAUUUUAGAAAUUUAAAUUAUUAAUUUAAUUUUUUCCUAGUCCCUUAUCCUAAAGAUGAGGAAUUAUUAAUUUAAUUUUUUCCUAGUCCCUUAUCCUAAAGAUGAGGAGACAUAGGUAGGUAGUUUUUAUUUAUAUAUUUUUAUUUUAGUAUAAAAAAUAAUAAUUUUUGCAUUAAAAAAACACUUAUAUUAAGCUAUUUAGUAUCUGUUAACCCAUUUAAGUAACAUCUCAAAAGUCAUAGCAAGGUAGCUUGUACUGGG
This 362-nucleotide ribosomal RNA is filed under the name Pleurotus sp. PLHP-12. Its description in RNAcentral is "partial small subunit ribosomal RNA". The record is from RNAcentral. Lineage: Eukaryota; Fungi; Basidiomycota; Agaricomycetes; Agaricales; Pleurotaceae.